This 2172-nucleotide unclassified non-coding RNA is filed under the name Hevea brasiliensis (rubber tree). Lineage: Eukaryota; Viridiplantae; Streptophyta; Magnoliopsida; Malpighiales; Euphorbiaceae. The record is from RNAcentral.
GGUAAUUCAACUUUACAUCUUCGAGCUUCCCACUUAUAAUAUAAUACAUGAUGAUAUGAAAUAUAUAUAUAAGAUGGAGAAGGUCGAUAACGCCGUAUUCACAUUCAACCUUCCACACUAUGUAGAUAGCUUUAUUACAGAGACGCUAGAAUGUUGACGAGGGGACUCAUUCUAAAUCAUCGACAGUACAAAGCUUUCAGCCAGCCACUUAGAAUAGAUUCUUCUGUCUACUUAUAUACCUGAAUUUCAAUAUUCCAUUUGUACAUCUCUUGUUGUGGAACUGGGAUAUUCAUAGUCAGCAGUCCAUAUUCUUUGUUGUAGUUAUAGAGGGUGUCUGCUCCAUCUAUUGAACAUUUGACGGGUAUUUGGGAAAUGUAAACGCCAAAGCGGCCACAUCCCCUGACCUUGAGUGAGACUGUUGCAGUUCGAGAUUGGCUUGUACCAUCAGAAUGUACUUCAUACUGAUCAAUGGCACCACCACUGUUGAUCAUAUCCAUCAGCCCAAUUGGAGCAAAAGAUAUGUUUGUCACAACUUCCUUGACAGGAGAAAAGUGGAAUACUUCAUAUUCAAGAACUUUAAGUGUUACAGGCAAUGAAGCACCUCUGGGUAGGAAAACCAGUUUCCCUGAUGUAAAGCAAUAGGCUAUAGAAUCCCCAUUCCAAUCAAUGGUCUCAACAUCAGUUGAUUGGACUGAAGUUGUAAGUGUGCCAGGGGAUGCAUCAUGAAUACGCGUCUUCUUUGUCACCUUGCACCACCCAGCACCUUGGCAGUUAAAUACACCAACCACACCACUGUAUUUGUUCACGUUCCAUAUUUUGAGUAAGCUUGUCCCGUCUCUUGCUGGAUCAACAAAUAGGCAAUCUCGAGUAGGUCUGCCAGGCAAUUGAGCGCGAAGUACUGAUCCAUCAGGAAGGAUAAGCUUCUUCAGAAGCUCGAAGUUGUGAUUUCCGGGUUUGUCACUCACAUAAAUUGGUGAUCCUCCAACUGCUCUAGCUGCAGCAUGAUAUUCUGCAGUAUGGUGAAGACUGUGGAACAUGUCCCAAUCUGGUUGCAUGAAUUCUCCCAAGAACAAUGAGUUGUAGCAAACAGAAGAUAUAUGGAUGGUGUGAGAAGCUGGAUCACGAGGAUAAUAAUCAUCAGAAGCUCUGACUAGAGCGGUUUGCUUAGAACUGUAGAGCCCAUCAGUGUUGUGAUUCAUGCAGGCAAUGCAUCCAUUGUCAGGAAAGUUUUGAGCAAUGGAUGCUUCAAGGGCCUGGAUAUAGCUUCUUGUGAUGGAUACUCUACCACCAUGGCCAGCACCAAGUGUUUCAAUGAUGUUCUGGACAUCAACCUUGACUCCAUCAACCCCACAGGAUGCCAGAUAGGCAUGUAGUUCAUUAUAAAAGUUAAAGACCUUUUUUGGGUGCACUAAACCUAAGCCAUUAGCUGCAAGACUAUCCAUAACAAUGUCAGGUUGGUUUCCCAUCACACCAGGAGACUGAAUGGGGUACACCAAUGCAGUGUCAUAGUGCUCGAGCCCAGGACCAGCAGGGUGCACUCCACCCCAGUAACCAGCUAGGGCAUGCCAUACGUAUACAUACUUAACACUGUGUUGUUUCUUGGCUUCCUCCACUACAUGCUUCAGGCCUUUUUUUUGGAACUUGUUGUUUUCUUUAAUUCCUGUUAGCCUGUUGGCGAACUGUGCUCCUUCUUGUACUACACAGUUAGUGUCCUUGGGUGCUUCAUUGCCAAUCUGUUGCCAACCAUCAUCAAUUAUCAGGAAACGUGGGCGAACACCACCCUUGGAUAAGCUGUUGAGACCAUCCUCGACACCCUCUGCUGUGACCUCAGUGUAAAAGGCAUCCCAUGUGCACCACCCAAACCAAUCAAUAAUUGAGGGCAACUUCUUCUUCUCUCUGUGAUGGAAAGUUUGCAAGUGUUGCUCAACAGAUUUCACAGCCUGUGUAAUGACUUGAAAGGGAUUGGUCCCAGCAUGGGUGUAGACAAGAUAAAGGCCUUGGUUGGUUUUAACAGCAUUAUCUCCACUUUCAAGGCAAAUCUCGAUUUGGUUCAUCUGAUUGCCUUGAAGAACAGCACGAAACUGUCCUUCAAGUAGAGGGAGGAAGACGGUGUAAAUAAUUGGGCCCUGGUCGUCUUUGGUCUCGAGAAGCAUGAACUGGGUCUCCAAAGGA